Molecule: ribosomal RNA, 430 nt
Filed under: Salmonella enterica subsp. enterica serovar Typhimurium str. ST4581
Lineage: Bacteria; Pseudomonadati; Pseudomonadota; Gammaproteobacteria; Enterobacterales; Enterobacteriaceae
Description: bacterial LSU rRNA
Rfam family: Bacterial large subunit ribosomal RNA
Source: RNAcentral
UAUCGACGGCGGGUUUUGGCACCUCGAUGUCGGCUCAUCACAUCCUGGGGCUGAAGUAGGUCCCAAGGGUAUGGCUGUUCGCCAUUUAAAGUGGUACGCGAGCUGGGUUUAGAACGUCGUGAGACAGUUCGGUCCCUAUCUGCCGUGGGCGCUGGAGAACUGAGGGGGGCUGCUCCUAGUACGAGAGGACCGGAGUGGACGCAUCACUGGUGUUCGGGUUGUCAUGCCAAUGGCACUGCCCGGUAGCUAAAUGCGGAAGAGAUAAGUGCUGAAAGCAUCUAAGCACGAAACUUGCCCCGAGAUGAGUUCUCCCUGAGACUUAGAGUCUCCUGAAGGAACGUUGAAGACGACGACGUUGAUAGGCCGGGUGUGUAAGCGCAGCGAUGCGUUGAGCUAACCGGUACUAAUGAACCGUGAGGCUUAACCUUAC